GCCCUCGCCCAGCAGCUUCAGCACCUGGAAGUGUUGGGAGACCUUCAGGCUGGGCAUCGACUGGGCCGACAGGAAGCACCGCUCGUCCAGGUCCUGAGCCGCUGAAGCAGCCUGAAGACAGAAAACAGAAUCAUCAGAACAUUGGGUCUCCAUGUCAGUCGAAGCGUCAAACCGGAGCAGCAAAGACUCUCAGAUUAACAUGUCCAGCUCACAGUUUCUCUCCUGACCUUCACGUUACGUCACCGAGCUUCAGCUGGAGCUAAUUAAACAACUCGUUAAGACAACAGCGAAGCUGCCGUGUUGUUUUUAAUCUCAGAGAGCUGACUGAUCUCUGAAAGUUUCCCAUCGACCAUAAAUCUGACGAUGGCGAUGAGACGGUCUGUCGGUCUGGAUUUAUGUCAGUCUUAUGUCAUCUGAGAAACGUCCCGUCAGAAGAUCAGAAAUGAGCUGAUCUCUGAUAUGAGUUACUGCUGAAGAAACAAAUAGAUCAGAUGUGCAGCCAAAAAUAAGCCCGAAUGUUUGAGCUGCUCCACACCGCUGGAAGUUCAUCCCUGAUGGAUGGAAGGAUCCAGCGAGGACGUUCUAGAUCUUUAAAGAGCACCAGACUCAACUGGUUUGGGUUGGUUUGGAGUCAAUCUGGACAAAUCUGGAGACGUUUCCGGUCACUUUUGCACAAACUUCAAGUCAUUUUAGGCAAAAUUUGAGGAAUUGGGACGUUUUGACUUGUUUUGGUUGGUUCGGGUUCAUUUUGGAGAAAUCUGUUGUCAAUUUUGACCUUUUUAACCAUUUUUUAGUCACUUUGGACAAAUCUGGAGACAUUUCUAGUCACUUUUUAAUGAAGUCAACCAAAAAUCAACCAAAAUCCAGUGAAAUUCGCUGGAUUUUGGUUUAUUUUUUUCCUGAAUGUUCUUAAAGAAACAUUUUUUUUAACAUUUCUUUUUUCCACCAAAAAAUGUUCAAAAAUUUCCCAAAAAUGUUGAAAAUAUCGAAGUUUCACUGUGAAAAUAUUUUUUUCCACAUUUUCAAACUUUAAAAUGGGUCAAUUUGACCCACAGGACGACACGAGGGUUAAAUCGCUCCUUAAAACACACUUUUAUAGACUUUUGCUUUUAUGUGAAGUUUACUUUUAGCUUUAUUUAGUUUCAGUCUUCUAUUCUGUAUUAUGUUAACUUAUUAUUAUGAUUUCUACUAUUUAUUUUCAGACUGCUCUGCCUCGAUUGUCUGUGUUUGCAUGUUUUGACCUCCUGAACGCUGCUAUAGGAAUUAAACACUAUUAAUAUUCCAAUUAUAAAACUGCAGUAGAGAGAGUUUCCAAACAGAAAUCUGUUAAAGCCACUUGUUAAACUCAGUAACCUGCGAAAACAAAGUUAGAUUCCUGAAUUUAAAUGUGAUCCGAGCUGUUAACGGCCUGCAGUUAUCACGUUGUUACGUCCUGCAGCUGCUCCUCGUCGCUCACAAGCCGACAGAAAUUAAACCUCCUAUAUCUGAGGUUUGUCUGCAGUUUUAUCUGCUCACUGUUUAACUGUAGCUUCAUUAAUCAUCACAGAAUCAUCUAACAGAGGUGAUUAUUAAUGAAACCCUCUUGGAGAACUGGUCACUAAUGAACUAAUUACACUAAUUAAAGUCCACCAGCUGAGAAUCAUCGCUACUUCUCCAGUAAAAUCCUGCAUUUAUGUAUUUAAUUCCUGCAUGUCGACUCAUCGUAAAGCUACAAAAACAGCUGUGAAAUCCGAUAUUUAAACAUAAAACUGUCUGCACCAACAGCACGCUGUAAUAAAUGUCAUCAAUUAUUAAGAGCAGUUCACAAAAUAUGAUUAAAACUGUCAAUUCUGACAACGUUUUGGGGGCAAAAUCACAUAAACUCCAGUUUACAGCAAAUAUUAGCACUAGUUUGACACAGAUUUCUAUAUAUUAUGUUCAUUUUUCCUCGGUUUCUACAUUUUAAUAGACUUAUAAUGUGUUGUACAUUUGAAAAAAAUGCUCCUAACACAUAAAAAUAUAAAUAAAAUUGUUGUUUCAAAGUU
Long non-coding RNA from Amphiprion ocellaris (clown anemonefish), 2024 nucleotides. RefSeq lists it as uncharacterized. The transcript has 2 exons. The record is from RefSeq and is a predicted model, not a curated record. NCBI's taxonomy places the organism in Eukaryota, Metazoa, Chordata, Actinopteri, Pomacentridae.